GAAGAGUACACAAUUUUAAUAUCUCUUAAUAAAUAUUCAGGUGGGAUCCUCUCUCCUAGGUGAUUGUCAAACAAAAAAGAACAAUAUCGCUUUUAUCAAACAUAACCCAAGAGGAUAAGUAUAAAGUGUAUCACCAUCCGUCACAUACUCAAAUAUAAGAGUGUGGCUAGAUCUCAGUCGACCGAGAGUUAACCAAGUCCCUGUUAAGUAACAUAACAUGCAAGAGAGAGAAAGAAAAAACCGAAAAGAUCAUACGGAUAUAGCAUCGACUGAGACUCGACCGAGACAUAGCAAGAGUGCAAAUAUAAUCCCACAUAUAUUCUAUUAUCACACGAGAAACCAACUCAUGUCUCUAGUGCUAGCAGGAGUCGUGCAUUUCCUUCCCUGGUAGGCAGUGGCGGAGCUAUUUGGAGGCCAACCUGGGCCAUGGCCCCCCCAGCUCAUAGGAAAACAUGCAAAUAUGCCUUAAUAUUUAGUCUAAUUUUCGACUAAAUUCAGCCUAACGUAAUCAUGUUUGCCCCCCUUCAGCCCAUGCCUCCCCAUAAUUUCAUCUCAAGCUCCGCCACUGCUGGUAGGAAUCUAAUCUUAGCAUAACCACAAGUCAUCGAUCACCUCCUUGCUCUCCAUGGCUUGGUAGUAGUACACCGUGGCCGCCGCCAAGGAGAAUAGCUG
RNAcentral lists this long non-coding RNA (672 nucleotides) under Triticum aestivum (bread wheat). RNAcentral describes it as "long non-coding RNA (TAES_LNC023158)". The record is from RNAcentral. Lineage: Eukaryota; Viridiplantae; Streptophyta; Magnoliopsida; Poales; Poaceae.